Molecule: ribosomal RNA, 485 nt
Filed under: uncultured Staphylococcus sp.
Lineage: Bacteria; Bacillati; Bacillota; Bacilli; Caryophanales; Staphylococcaceae
Description: bacterial SSU rRNA
Rfam family: Bacterial small subunit ribosomal RNA
Source: RNAcentral
AAAACUCUGUUAUUAGGGAAGAACAAAUGUGUAAGUAACUAUGCACGUCUUGACGGUACCUAAUCAGAAAGCCACGGCUAACUACGUGCCAGCAGCCGCGGUAAUACGUAGGUGGCAAGCGUUAUCCGGAAUUAUUGGGCGUAAAGCGCGCGUAGGCGGUUUUUUAAGUCUGAUGUGAAAGCCCACGGCUCAACCGUGGAGGGUCAUUGGAAACUGGAAAACUUGAGUGCAGAAGAGGAAAGUGGAAUUCCAUGUGUAGCGGUGAAAUGCGCAGAGAUAUGGAGGAACACCAGUGGCGAAGGCGACUUUCUGGUCUGUAACUGACGCUGAUGUGCGAAAGCGUGGGGAUCAAACAGGAUUAGAUACCCUGGUAGUCCACGCCGUAACCGAUGAGUGCUAAGUGUUAGGGGGUUUCCGCCCCUUAGUGCUGCAGCUAACGCAUUAAGCACUCCGCCUGGGGAGUACGACCGCAAGGUUGAAACUCA